AUUGAACGCUGGCGGCAGGCCUAACACAUGCAAGUCGAGCGGAUGAAGGGAGCUUGCUCCUGGAUUCAGUCGCGGACGGGUGAGUAAUGCCUAGGAAUCUGCCUGGUAGUGGGGGAUAACGUCCGGAAACGGGCGCUAAUACCGCAUACGUCCUGAGGGAGAAAGCGGGGGAUCUUCGGACCUCACGCUAUCAGAUGAGCCUAGGUCGGAUUAGCUAGUUGGUGGGGUAAAGGCCUACCAAGGCGACGAUCCGUAACUGGUCUGAGAGGAUGAUCAGUCACACUGGAACUGAGACACGGUCCAGACUCCUACGGGAGGCAGCAGUGGGGAAUAUUGGACAAUGGGCGAAAGCCUGAUCCAGCCAUGCCGCGUGUGUGAAGAAGGUCUUCGGAUUGUAAAGCACUUUAAGUUGGGAGGAAGGGCAGUAAGUUAAUACCUUGCUGUUUUGACGUUACCAACAGAAUAAGCACCGGCUAACUUCGUG
This 484-nucleotide ribosomal RNA is filed under the name uncultured bacterium. Its description in RNAcentral is "partial 16S ribosomal RNA". It matches the Rfam family "Bacterial small subunit ribosomal RNA", at positions 30 to 507 of the family's 1533-position model. The record is from RNAcentral.